Triticum aestivum (bread wheat) is the source of this 2318-nucleotide long non-coding RNA. RefSeq lists it as uncharacterized. Lineage: Eukaryota; Viridiplantae; Streptophyta; Magnoliopsida; Poales; Poaceae. The record is from RefSeq and is a predicted model, not a curated record. The transcript has 9 exons.
UCCUCCCCUUCUCUUCGUUGCCUCCCCUCGCGCCGCCGCCCUCCGAGAAGCACCCCGGCCGCUGCUGCUCCGCGUCGUGCCGAGCUUGCCUCCUCUGCUGCUCUCCCCGUCGAUCUCGCCCCUCGCCACCGGCCCUCAAGUUUUGGAGGGUCAAGGUGGACAAGGAGAUCCAUGAGCAGCCGCCGCCGCCCGUCCUCCUACUUCGCCAUCAAGGAGAGGAGCAUAGGAGCAUGUCCUCACGUUCGUGUUCCUCCGAGAAGAGGACAAAUCGAGGCAAGUGUCGGAACGAGGAGACGAGUCUGGUGGAGAUGAUGAGAGGAACGGAGACAAGGAUGGCGACUUGAUGCUCCUCGGAGACCUCCUCUGGAGAUUCUCGACCAAGGUUUGCCUGGGAAUGCGUCCUUCAAUAACAAGAAGAUGUGUCCAUCUAUCAAGAUGUUGAGGUUUGACCAGUGUGGCCACCAUUGGGGGAGUCCACUAACCGAGGCCCCACUAGAUGACAAACCACACCAUAUCCAUAUGAAUCCCAAGUUAAUUCCCCACCGGAUAAAAUGUGGCCAUGGCUGACCUAAUACUGGCUGAGUGAUAGGAUUGUUCUGCAUACUAGAAGGGUUUGGUUGGAUGUUGCAACCCCACUAUGGUUCUAACUUUGUCUACCUCUGUUUAGAAUGCAAUUGAGAAUUGGUCAAUAAACAUUCACUGGGAGUUAGGGGCUGCUACGGUUAUGUGCUUGAUUGGUUUUGUUAGUUCCAUCCAGAUUGUGCUUUGCAGGUAUUAGGCAAGAGUCAUGUUUUAUGAGAAAACUUUAUACUUUUUAUUGUGAUUGACAUAUGUUAGUGUGAUGUUGGAUCAUUAGAUUUUUGCCAGUGUAGUACAUGAUCCUCCAAGUUAAUUACUAGCAUGUGUAAAUCCAUUGUUCUUUACAAAAAGAAACUGAUGCUAUUAUGGCAUCUCUUCUGUUGCCACUCUGUAUCUUAUAUAUAUACAUUCAGAAAGCAUGACUUGGGUUUAUACGAUGCAUAUAGGUUACUACACUAUUGAAGUAUUUGUAUCUUGGCCUCUUACCAUUUGAUCUGCCUACACUAAUCUCAUGUUUGGUUUAAAGCUUCUAAUUUUUUGGCUGACCAGAGCUCAGUAAUAAGAUUCAUGGCUCGGUAUGUCAUGUUAGUAAGCACAUGCCAAAUUUAGAAAAACAUGGGUACUGAACUAGAAAUUCUCAUGAAGGAAAUCAGUUUAAAUAUGCAUGGUCAGUUGUAGUACUUGCAAUGUUUACCUACCUGUGAUUCAGAUUUCUUUUUAUGCCAUUGUUCAAACAUUACUCGAAAUCUCUGAUUUGUCAAGCAAUUUUCUUGAUUAGAUGAUAAUGUGAUAUACAUGGUGACUGCUAUUAAGUGAAUCCAUCCAUAUAUGUCCUUCUUAGUGACCAACUAAUUGAUGGUAAAUCUUUAAUCCAUAGUUUCUGAUUUAUGCAUGCACUUCUGUUGGUUAUCAUGUCUAUGUAAGCUUUGUGUUGUCCUUUGUAAUAUCUGAUUAUGCUAUGCAAAGGAAAAUCAAGGAUUACUGUUCUUGGUACGUAUGCAGUGUAUUUUUUGUUUUCAAUAGUAAUAGUUCAAGUAGAGGUCAGAUGCAGUGACAUAGAUGGUCAAAGGAUAAUUGGACAAUGAAUGCAGGCUCUUUCAUUUCAUAUCUGGGCGACGAGGGCGGCUUCGACGGGGUCUACACGACAUUUGUCCGCAUGCUCGAUGCUAAGGGCCGCCAUCGCCGUCAAGGGACUCAACCAGCACGGCCUCUAGGUCAGGACACUCCACCUUGCAUUCACCUAUGUGCAGUUUACUUUCAUCGUCAACCAUGUGGCUUAAGUUAAGCUUGGCCAGCAAAUUACAUGGCUCUUCAUCAGCGUCAUGAUAAUGUCGUCUAACAAGCUCGCAUGUGGAUGUGCUAAUGAUCGGGAUAUGAUGAAAGGCAAAGACGAUUGGCAUGUUUUGUCCGGUCUGCUGAAGUUUAGGUGGGCAAGGUCACACAAUUUGGGUUAUUGAUAUCAUUUUGGGACAUUAUUUCGAACAACCUCUAUUUCUAAAUGUUUGCAAAGGCUAAUUUGCAUGGUUUUCAUUUUUGGAGGUUGUACCAUGGCUGCUUUCAAUCUUUCCUUCUGUAUUAUUUUUGUGUGUUUGCUGGAGUGAAUUUUAGUCUUUGUUCACUUUUCAUAUUAACAUUUAAAAUACCAUGGAAACGGACCUGGCCAUAUAUUUGCAGUAUCAAGCAAAUCCUUUUGUUGUUUAUUGUAACCACAUUCCUGUGUAUUAAAUUUAUUUCAGCUA